UACGUAGGGUGCAAGCGUUGUCCGGAAUUAUUGGGCGUAAAGAGCUUGUAGGCGGUUUGUCGCGUCUGCUGUGAAAUUUCGGGGCUCAACCCCGAACUUGCAGUGGGUACGGGCAGACUAGAGUGCAGUAGGGGAGACUGGAAUUCCUGGUGUAGCGGUGAAAUGCGCAGAUAUCAGGAGGAACACCGAUGGCGAAGGCAGGUCUCUGGGCUGUAACUGACGCUGAGGAGCGAAAGCAUGGGGAGCGAACAGG
This 253-nucleotide ribosomal RNA is filed under the name uncultured bacterium. Its description in RNAcentral is "partial 16S ribosomal RNA". It matches the Rfam family "Bacterial small subunit ribosomal RNA", at positions 524 to 776 of the family's 1533-position model. The record is from RNAcentral.